Molecule: ribosomal RNA, 486 nt
Filed under: uncultured bacterium
Lineage: Bacteria
Description: partial 16S ribosomal RNA
Rfam family: Bacterial small subunit ribosomal RNA
Source: RNAcentral
GAUGAACGCUGGCGGCGUGCUUAACUCAUGCAAGUCGAACGGUUAAAGCUCCCUUCGGGGAGUGUAUAAAGUGGCGAACGGGUGAGUAACACUUGGGCAAUCCACCUCGCGGACUGGAGUAACUGCGGGAAACCGCAGCUCAUACCGGACAACAACGUCGUGUCGCAUGGCUCGUUGUUCAAACGGUCCGCCGCCUUGAGCUGAGCCCGCGGCCCAUUAGCUUGUUGGUGGGGUAACGGCUCACCAAGGCUGCGAUGGGUAGCCGACCUGAGAGGGUGACCGGCCACAUUGGGACUGGGACACGGGCCAGACUCCUAUGGGAGGCAGCAGUGGGGAAUUUUGCGCAAUGGGCGCAAGCCUGACGCAGCAACGCCGCGUGGAGGAUGAAGGCCUUCGGGUCGUAAACUCCUGUUAGGAGGGACGAAGCGAAAGUGACGGUACCUCCAGAGGAAGCCCCGGCUAACUACGUGCCAGCCGCCGCGGUAA